UAAUACCGGCAGCUCAAGUGGUAGCCGCGAUUAUUGGGCCUAAAGCGUUCGUAGCCGGAUAAGUAAGUCUUUGGUUAAAUCCUGCGACUUAACCGUGGGAAAUCUAGAGAUACUGCUUGUCUUGAGACCGGGAGAGGUUGGAGGUACUCCCAGGGUAGGGGUGAAAUCCUGUAAUCCUGGGGGGACCACCUGUGGCGAAGGCGUCCAACUGGAACGGGUCUGACGGUGAGGGACGAAACCUAGGGGAGCGAGCCGGAUUAGAUACCCGGGUAGUCCUAGGCGUAAAUGAUGCGAGUUAAGUGUGGGGGCAUCUACGAGAUGGCCCUGUGCUGUAGGGUAGCCGUUAAACUCGCCGCCUGGGGAGUACGGUCGCAAGGCUGAAACUUAAAUGAAUUGACGG
Molecule: ribosomal RNA, 400 nt
Filed under: uncultured bacterium
Lineage: Bacteria
Description: bacterial SSU rRNA
Rfam family: Archaeal small subunit ribosomal RNA
Source: RNAcentral